GAGUUUGAUCCUGGCUCAGAGCGAACGCUGGCGGCAGGCUUAACACAUGCAAGUCGAACGCUCGUAGCAAUACGGGAGUGGCAGACGGGUGAGUAACGCGUGGGAACAUACCUUUUGGUUCGGAACAACCCAGGGAAACUUGGGCUAAUACCGGAUAAGCCCUUACGGGGAAAGAUUUAUCGCCGAAAGAUUGGCCCGCGUCUGAUUAGCUAGUUGGUGAGGUAACGGCUCACCAAGGCGACGAUCAGUAGCUGGUCUGAGAGGAUGAUCAGCCACAUUGGGACUGAGACACGGCCCAGACUCCUACGGGAGGCAGCAGUGGGGAAUUUUGGACAAUGGGGGCAACCCUGAUCCAGCCAUGCCGCGUGCGGGAAGAAGGCCUUCGGGUUGUAAACCGCUUUUAGCCGGGAAGAAAAGGCCAUCCCUAACAGGGGUGGUUUUUGACGGUACCGGCGGAAUAAGCACCGGCUAACUACGUGCCAGCAGCCGCGGUACGCC
This 498-nucleotide ribosomal RNA is filed under the name uncultured bacterium. RNAcentral describes it as "bacterial SSU rRNA". It matches the Rfam family "Bacterial small subunit ribosomal RNA", at positions 9 to 526 of the family's 1533-position model. The record is from RNAcentral.